GUGCCAUAUAAAGAGGUUAUAGAAACCCAGAAGAUUGUGGUGAUGCGGUUUGAAUUCCUCAUGAAGAAAGGAACUAAAGAGCACUGGUGCUAACAUCCCGCUGUUUAUAAAAUAUCUGGGAUCAGUGAUCCCUCUUCUGCACAAGGAUUUUAUACUAGGAAGGGAGGACGGCAUUGCCAUCUUGCUGAGUUUCCUAACAUGUCUGCACUUUCUCUUCUGCACACAAGGCUCCUGAAGGAAUUAAUGAAGGUUGAUCACAUCUUGUAAACAACACACAUCGCACAGCUGGUGUGCAUACACACAUACACAGUGUCUGGCCUGGGCACUUGCUGUGUGGGAUGCAAAGUGCUGGAUGACUCAGAGAAGACAAAUGGGUGUUUUUAUUUAUCCCUUGCAUCUGUAAUGCAAGAUCAAGAGAUGUUCAAAGAAAACAGACAGAAACAAAUACAAGGCAAACAAAUUUGUGUUGUGUAAGAACGUGCAUGUGUUCUUACACAACAUGUAGUUACCAUCUGUCAGAAGGUAUCAUAAAGACCAUGAGCUCAGCAGGAUUCAAGAAAGAAUUACGCAAUCAGCUGGCUAUUGGGAGUUUCCAGAGAAUUGCAUUAGCCAAGGUAGAAAUAUGGACAGAAGGCUCAAUUCUCUGGCACCAUGACAUAAGGCAAUUACCAUCCACCAAGAGCCCUGACUGGAAACUUUUACCAACAAGAACACUUACUGUGACCAUUGCUCUGUUCUCAGAAUCUGUUUUUAUCUCCUGUUGGGCCAGAAUAGGGGCUGCUGGUUAGAUCCAUUACAAUGAUAUUUGAUGGUGGAGGGGGAGAAUUUCACACACCCCUGAAGGACCUCAGCCACAUAUCAGGUCCUCAUUACCAAAGAAGAUGCAGGAUGUUCUUGAUGAUGAAUGCAGGAGCUGUGCUAGUCUUCACCAGCAGAACAAGUACCCCCAAGGGGCAUGGAGGGAAGCCUGAGCCAGCUGUUCUUGAAGAGAAACUAUCAGUCCUCACCUCCAAUGCACUUCACAGUGCCCUGUGUCUAAAGCAGUGAUGCUGGGCUUACAGAAGGACCAGAAAACAACAGCCUUCUGCAAGUAGGCAGUGGUGCUCCACUCCCUCCUACGGGCUUCAAUCCAACGUGCAUGUCUCAUCUUUUGGGAGGCUGCAGAAGAUUUCUGCAGCUCUCCUGUAGCUCACAAACCACUCAUAAAAACUUGUAAAGCCCAUAAAACUGGAGUAUAGUGGUUUGCUUUUUUUUUUUUUUCCUCUCUUUGUCCUGAAACACUAGCCAAGCAAACAGUAUUUUGACUCAUCUCAUGGCAGUGUAACUCAAGUGUUGCUGGAAUUAAAACAAUGGAAAAAACUGCAAGAACAGCUUCCUUAGCAGGGCUUCUUCCUUAGCCUCGUGAACUCAUAGAGUACUGGAAGCGUUGAUAGUUAUGAGCAGAGCCAUGGCCAGCUCAGGGAAGCGCUGGGAAGGAAGGCCAAGCUGAUGGCACAGGCGUGCCAGAAAAUGCACACUUAGACCUGGGUUUCUACCGACUUGCAGCAACAUGGGGACAAGGCAAUGAGAACAGAGGAAAUAACACGUGUGUAUAUACAUAUUAUGUAUAUUUUAGGUAACACAGCAAAGGUUUGCGGAAAUGAAGUAUGGUCUGAUCAGGGAAGCGUGACUGUAGAAAACCCGCUACCUCAACAGUCUCUACUUGCUGCUAUCAGCGAGAUGUGCUGAAGUUCACCUUUCUGAGAAAGAAAAAAAAAAAAAAAAAAAAAAAGAAGAAAAGGUAUUCCUGCUUGCAAACUAGUCGGUCUUAUUCCAGCAGUCUGGAAACAUAAAUUAAAGCUGUGGAGUACCCAGAAAUGUGCAAUCCCCUACAGUGGCACAUCAUAAAUGUGGAAAGCAGCAUUUGCACCUCUACAAAAGCCAUAGGCAACCUGCUUGGGUCAAUCACAAAGCACAGUCAAUACCAAGUUCGUACUGGGACAUUUUCACAGAGGUAGAAAUAAUGUGCACUGAUAGGGAAAGUGAGGCAAACUGAGCUGGUGGCUAUGUCUCUUGGCUAUUUCUCUUAGAUUUUACACCAAAGCUUACAGAAACAACACAGAAACGUGGAAUUUCUAUACUAAGAGACUGUAAUUGCUUGAAAUAUUAAUUUCUUACAGGGUGAAAGCCAAGGAAAGGCUAAGUGAAGGUGAAUUAAAACCCACUUCUAGAAUUCUUUUGGGAAAGAAAAAAAAUAAAUAUGAAAACAAGUAUAAUUCCAGCUCAGAUGGCUCCUAACAUUUCUACACACUACAAGGUACUUACUCCAUAAAGUGGCUCCUCCCUUCACAACAGCUGCUUGCAUUCAGGGUAAUUGAGGAAAGGCAGAGCAUCCAUCCCCCACGUACAGCAACUCUAGCCUCUUCAGGAAUAUGCUCUCUCCUCAGCUGCAAAGAUCGCUGCACCAAAGGUUUCGGUGCUUAUAAAUCCACGCACACUGCUCAGGGUUCGGCCACCACACAAAAGCAAAUGUAGGAGCCGGGCAGAGGAAGAAAUCCCAUCCACAGACACUCGGGCUUCAGGUGGAGCAGCAGAGCGGUGGCUGGGGAGCCGUCCGGCUAAAAGCUUUCCCUCACGAACCACAGACAUUAAUUACAUCUGUUCUGACUGACAGCCAGGUCCUAGUGUGCCCUCUGUGAUAUUGAAAUUUAAAUGGCUAUCCCUGAAAAUGAUUCAGCGAAGGUCAGGUGCGCCGCUAGCACCAGAUGCAAGCUGGUCAGAGAAUCCUCAACAUCGUGGGCACCGCUGCUGCUCUGCAAGCUGUGUGGACAGCCAUGUGCUUUUGCAUUUAGCUGGCAGUCUCCUGUCCCAGUCACUGUACUGUGCACGUGUGACUCACCUUGCCCCAUGUCUGCCAAACUAAGCGUCUGAGGUCCCUCUGCAGUGCAUUGGAAAGAUGCAAGGAACUGCAAAGGACAAUCAGUUUCACCCCAAGAACAGGCUGUGAGAAAAUAGAGGAGGCAUCCCCAGGAGAGCCACUGCCCCAGCAAACAGUGCUCCAGGAUGGUGUUCAGGAGCUAUGGAGAAAGGCCAGCCCAGGAGCUCCUCUGGUAGGCACGAGCCUGGGUCAUCCUGGAGGACCAAGGCUGCCGGUGUCCUCCUGCUCCAACAUCUUGUAGCCAUGAGGGCUUCAGCUGCUUCAGCUCUCUUUCAGGCUUCCCUGCUCUAAAGGGUUAAGGAGGGACUCAAACAGCUGACAGAAAUGGGCAGAUCUCCUUCAGCCAUGUGGAGAAACUUGCAGGCUUUGGGCUCGUGCUGCCUCUCUAAAGGCAUGUUUCCACUUUGCUGGGAUCUUAAUGGCUUACAUAUGCAGAGCUCUGGCUCCUGAGAGAGCCCAGUGCUCUGCCACUGCUCCUCACAUUGUUAUUUCUACCAUUUCCAUAAACUGCAUGCACAGGGAGUAACUGCAAAUCCCAGUGCAACUCAGCGAUGCCAAUAUCAUUUUUGUGCAGGAAGAGUCUGCAGCUGCCUUCGCCCUGAGCGGGAACAAGUGGUUGGCUUUCACUUGCCUCUUGUCCUGCAUGGCGAGUCUCUCCUGCAAUCCAAGUAAUCACCACCUCUCACGUCCCUGUAUCAGCACUGCAAAUCAGAGAACAUGAACACCGACUGCCUUUUUUGCUGCAAAGAGAGACCAGACCCCUCUGUCACCGAAGAACCAGCCCCAGCCUCUCCAGAAGCCUCCCUUCCUAUUUGGCAGACAACUCACGGACGGCUGCUGGAAACGGCCUGCUUGGGAAUAAACCAGUUUCCAAAAAGCUGUUCUUUUAAAGUAACAGCCACGCUAUUUGAGGUGCUUUUCAUGGAUGCUGCCCAUGCAGAGGAGCUGUGCUGAGCCACCAGGGUCCAUCAUAGGCAGCCCAGAGCCUGCUGGGGAGGGAUCUCACACCAGUAUCCCUGUGGCAGGCAGCAGGGUGAGGGUGCUGGGUGAGGGAGGCUGUCUCUCAUCCACCCAGAUCUCUGCUCAGGGCAGGCUGGCGCCGUGCAGCCCACAGAGAGGGGAAGGAGCUCCAGGUACAGGAGCGAUGGAGCAAGCAGGCAGAGCUACCUGAGGAAGCUUACAAUGCACCUGCCUGCGUCAGUCCGUGCAUGGCGACUUCCCCGAGGAAUGCAAGAUUUGCAUCGGUCAAUACCCACUGGCCCUCCUGCUCUGCCCUCUGCCAGUCCUUCCUGAAGGACCAGUUUGGUGAGCAAACAAAAUUCCAAGCUCAACCACCGGCUGUGUGGAGAUGCAGGAAAACAACAGCCCUGGUCUCCCUUUAGCAUGCAUCUCCAACAUUUACUGUUUAUUUUCUGCCCCAGCGUUACCCAUCUGAGAGGUCUGUGGCUCUCUGUGGUGGGCCACAGAGGCCACACGUGAUUGCUGGUGUCAUGCCGGAGGGCCAGCAGGUGGGAACCAACUCGUUAUCUGUUGUCGUCUCAGCUUGGGAGUGGUUAACCCAGACCGUGGCACAGCAAGGCACGGCGCGUUGGCUGCUACCAAAACGGGGAUUCCUGGAAAAUUCAAGCUGUAAGUAGGCAGCACGCUCUCCUCACUGUAUCUGAAAUACAUUGUACUCACUACGAAUACCAUCAAAGGGAAACCUGAUUUUGUGCCUGCCACACAGCAAGAAUGAAGGGAAAAUAUAAAUUCCGAACAAAAACUGUGAAAGGAGAGGGAGUGGAUAUGCAGGUGAGCAGGAGUGCUCCUGCCCCACUGUGUUGUUCUUUCUCCCAUGUAGAAGUCCAUCUGCAGAUGCUGUGCAGGAACCAGGCAACUCCUCCUCCACAACUUUGGUAAAAACAAAACAAAACAGCGGGAAAGGGACAGGUGCUGAAAAAAGUAGGAGAAGCAGAAAAGGAGUGGGGGAAAAGAUGAAAGAGGAGAAUGGAGGGAGGGAUCAGUUGGGGUAGGUGAUUUCAUGUAGGUGGCAUUAAGGAG
This is a long non-coding RNA of Cygnus olor (mute swan), 4957 nucleotides long. RefSeq lists it as uncharacterized. The transcript has 2 exons. Lineage: Eukaryota; Metazoa; Chordata; Aves; Anseriformes; Anatidae. The record is from RefSeq and is a predicted model, not a curated record.